Molecule: ribosomal RNA, 156 nt
Filed under: Arabidopsis arenosa
Lineage: Eukaryota; Viridiplantae; Streptophyta; Magnoliopsida; Brassicales; Brassicaceae
Description: 5.8S ribosomal RNA
Rfam family: 5.8S ribosomal RNA
About the family: 5.8S ribosomal RNA (5.8S rRNA) is a component of the large subunit of the eukaryotic ribosome. It is transcribed by RNA polymerase I as part of the 45S precursor that also contains 18S and 28S rRNA. Functionally, it is thought that 5.8S rRNA may be involved in ribosome translocation.
Source: RNAcentral
WAACGACUCUCGGCAACGGAUAUCUCGGCUCUCGCAUCGAUGAAGAACGUAGCGAAAUGCGAUACUUGGUGUGAAUUGCAGAAUCCCGUGAACCAUCGAGUCUUUGAACGCAAGUUGCGCCCCAAGCCUUCUGGCCGAGGGCACGUCUGCCUGGGU